Vicia villosa (hairy vetch) is the source of this 753-nucleotide long non-coding RNA. RefSeq lists it as uncharacterized. Lineage: Eukaryota; Viridiplantae; Streptophyta; Magnoliopsida; Fabales; Fabaceae. The record is from RefSeq and is a predicted model, not a curated record. The transcript is spliced from 4 exons.
UAUUUGUGUUAUGAUGUUAACUUGAUGAAAAAUGUAACAGGGAGUGGAAAUCUUUUGACAAAUUUUCACCUGAAAGGAGCAUCAAAUCACCCUUUCCGACAGUUUCAGCUUCCGAACAGGAUCAACCAUUGUCCAGUUUGUCUUCAGUGGAAUCUGUGCAGGAUCCUUCUGUGGAACCUGCGAAAGCAGCAUCUUUAGAUCCACUGAUUGGGAAGAAAGUUUCUACUAAAUGGUCAGCUGACGGCCCUUUUAUUGAUGGUGACAUAACUGAAUAUGACCCUGUCAAGGGCAUGUAUAAAGUGAUCUAUGCUGCUAAUACACCAAUAGAGUUUUCCAAAUGGGUUGAUCUGAAAAAGGUAUUUCCAUAUUUUGUUACAUUGAAUGAAGCAGCAACAAACAAAUAUGACUGGUGAAUAUUCCAGUCCAUGGAGUAAAAUGUAGUUUUAAGUCCCUUUGCGUCUCAUGACGAUAAACUACUAUUGUUAGGCGCUAGUCCUGAGUUUAUGUAAUGAAUAAAGAUCAAGUAGAUUUUGUAGUAGAGUAGUUUAAAAAUGAUGAGUAUCCUUUUUAUAUUUAUACUGUAAUGAAUGCCAACAGAUCUUUCCGGAGGAUAUAGACUGGGAAGGGUUUGAUCAGGUACCAAGUACUGUCGAACAAAAUGGACAAGACUGCGACAAUGAUAAUGCAGAAGAAAAAGAUCAGCAGGCACAUGAUAAUGGAAAUUCAAGCCUUUCGGAUACAUUUGAUGGAAAC